This 1403-nucleotide ribosomal RNA is filed under the name uncultured bacterium. RNAcentral describes it as "bacterial SSU rRNA". It matches the Rfam family "Bacterial small subunit ribosomal RNA". The record is from RNAcentral.
UAGAGUUUGAUCCUGGCUCAGGAUGAACGCUAGCGACAGGCUUAACACAUGCAAGUCGAGGGGCAGCGGUGGUGAAGGCUUGCCUUUACCAGCCGGCGACCGGCGCACGGGUGAGUAACACGUAUGCAACCUGCCUGCCACAGCCGGAUAAUCGGGAGAAAUUCCGUCUAAUACGGCAUAAUGCACCUAUGGGACAUCCUGUUGGUGCCAAAGGUUGAUUCCGGUGGCGGAUGGGCAUGCGUCGCAUUAGUUAGUUGGCGGUGUAACGGACCACCAAGACGACGAUGCGUAGGGGUUCUGAGAGGAAGGUCCCCCACACUGGUACUGAGACACGGACCAGACUCCUACGGGAGGCAGCAGUGAGGAAUAUUGGUCAAUGGGCGGGAGCCUGAACCAGCCAAGUCGCGUGAGGGAUGACGGCCCUAUGGGUUGUAAACCUCUUUUGCCGGGGAGCAAAGUGCCGCACGUGUGCGGUUUGGAGAGUACCCGGAGAAAAAGCAUCGGCUAACUCCGUGCCAGCAGCCGCGGUAAUACGGAGGAUGCGAGCGUUAUCCGGAUUUAUUGGGUUUAAAGGGUGCGUAGGCGGACGCUUAAGUCAGCGGUAAAAUUGCGGGGCUCAACCUCGUCGAGCCGUUGAAACUGGGUGCCUUGAGUGGGCGAGAAGUACGCGGAAUGCGUGGUGUAGCGGUGAAAUGCAUAGAUAUCACGCAGAACUCCGAUUGCGAAGGCAGCGUACCGGCGCCCAACUGACGCUGAAGUACGAAGGCGUGGGCAUCGAACAGGAUUAGAUACCCUGGUAGUCCACGCAGUAAACGAUGAAUGCUAGUUGUCCGGGGCGAUUGAGUUCUGGGUGACACAGCGAAAGCGUUAAGCAUUCCACCUGGGGAGUACGCCGGCAACGGUGAAACUCAAAGGAAUUGACGGGGGCCCGCACAAGCGGAGGAACAUGUGGUUUAAUUCGAUGAUACGCGAGGAACCUUACCCGGGCUCAAACGCAGGAGGGAUGUUUUUGAAAGGAGGCAGCCAGCAAUGGUCUCCUGCGAGGUGCUGCAUGGUUGUCGUCAGCUCGUGCCGUGAGGUGUCGGCUUAAGUGCCAUAACGAGCGCAACCCCUACCUACAGUUGCCAUCGCGUGAUGGCGGGCACUCUGUGGGGACUGCCUGCGCAAGCAGUGAGGAAGGCGGGGAUGACGUCAAAUCAGCACGGCCCUUACGUCCGGGGCGACACACGUGUUACAAUGGCAGGUACAGCGGGAAGCCACCCGGCGACGGGGCGCGGAACCCGAAAACCUGUCUCAGUUCGGAUUGGAGUCUGCAACCCGACUCCAUGAAGCUGGAUUCGCUAGUAAUCGCGCAUCAGCCACGGCGCGGUGAAUACGUUCCCGGGCCUUGCACACACCGCCCG